RNAcentral lists this long non-coding RNA (577 nucleotides) under Oreochromis niloticus (Nile tilapia). Its description in RNAcentral is "lncRNA (ENSONIG00000042421.1)". Lineage: Eukaryota; Metazoa; Chordata; Actinopteri; Cichliformes; Cichlidae. The record is from RNAcentral.
CAGAACUCCAAUAUCACAAAUAUUUUGUAUUCAUUACAUUUACAAUUUCUCAUUAUCCAUGCUUUAUCUAAAAAAAACAAAACAAACAAACCAAAAAAAACCCCAAAACUACUGAGUGUAGGUCACAUGACCUUGGAUACAGUAUAAAAGUGCUGUUGCCUUAACAGUGAUCCCACAUCCUCAGAUGAUACCGUCAUCAUCUCCAUCUCUUGACACAUUCACUGCUGAGGUCUGAACAGCCAUGCUCUCCUUUUGAACUCCCACCACUCUACCUGAGCCUUCUCCUCCUCUUUCUGUUGUGCCACUCCCCUGUUCUCUCCUGUCAGACUGGGACCCGGAGCCAGUGUAUGUCUGCCCCCUUUGUGCCUGGCUACAACCUGGCAGGGGAGGGCUUUGAUGUUCUUACACUUAAGCGAAAAGGAGCUUAUGUGAUUGAUGUGAAGACCUACCUCAAUUCGAGUGACACCUGUAAACUGCCUCAAUCCUCAUCAAGGCUACAAACUGCAGAAACUACCAGUCUCUGCUUUGGACUGGCGUGCGUUCAGCUGCUGCAGUUUUCAUCUCGAGGACAGUGAAC